GCCGUAGCGAAAGCGAGUUUUAACUGAGCGUUCAGUUACUUGACGUAGACCCGAAACCGGGCGACCUACCCAUGAGCAGGAUGAAGCGAAAGUAAAAUUUCGUGGAGGUCCGAACCCACGAGCGUUGAAAAGCCCGGGGAUGACUUGUGGGUAGCGGUGAAAUUCCAAUCGAGCCCGGAGAUAGCUGGUUCUCCCCGAAAUAGCUUUAGGGCUAGCCUCAAGGUGAGAGAUACGGAGGUAGAGCACUGAAUGUCCUAGGGG
This 261-nucleotide ribosomal RNA is filed under the name Clostridioides difficile. Its description in RNAcentral is "partial 23S ribosomal RNA". It matches the Rfam family "Bacterial large subunit ribosomal RNA", at positions 665 to 925 of the family's 2925-position model. Lineage: Bacteria; Bacillati; Bacillota; Clostridia; Peptostreptococcales; Peptostreptococcaceae. The record is from RNAcentral.